AAUUUUCCUCUUCACUCUCAUUCGAGUUUGAUUUCGUCUUGAUAUUUUUUCUUUAUCUGAUGUUUGGGUGUUCUGAUUGCAGAAUAUGUACACAAUGAAUCUAAUCUCAGCUUAGAACCACGGUAAGGUUACUAUUGUUUUCUACUUUACUACUGUUUUCUCAUUAUGGCAAAUUCACUGUUUGGUAGUUCAUGAAGUAUGGGUUUUUAUCUUGGUUUGGUUUCUCGCUGGGGUUUUAGCUUUUUAGGUAGUUAUUUGAGCUUUGAAGGCAAGGAAAAGUGUUUUUUUUGGGUUACAGGAUAUGAGAACUUAUCGACUGCAAUCAGAUCUUAGGGGAGCUGCAAUCCAUGUGAAUUUUUAAAAGACGAACUCUGCUACAGUAGUUGUGUUGGGAAUAUCUUUAACGGGACUGACGUGGGAGUGAUAAAAAAACAUCAUCAGUAUGAUUCUAUAUGACACGAGAAGCUUGACAAAUGUGCAAGUUACAAAGAGGCCUAACUGGAAGGAGUGUCAGAAUUCAUAACUGACAAUCGUGGGCUUGAGGUCUAUGUUUAUGGAUUGAAUUGUGGGACUUUUUCGUUUGUUUCAAUUGAUCCUGUGACAUUGAAAAGCAUUUUGAGCCCUAUGGUAAGGUAUCGCAUGUUAUAAUUCUUGGGUAAGUUGGUUCCAUAUAUCUCACUACUGGAUAGUUGAUUUGUUCAUUUGUGGUUUAUUAUAGUAAGAUGUUGGCAGGGUGUCUCUGUUGAAUGUGACCUCAGUAUGAAAGCUAUCAAGGUGGUAGGGAUGAUAUUCUUAGAAGAGGAAAGGAAUAUAGUUGAUCUAUAAGUAGAAGUCCAGUGCAUCGAAGAAGUAGACCGAGUCCGGAUAAUGGAGUGGAAAACAGUCAAGUUUAUGACAGAUAAGGGACCAUCGAGCAACAAGGAUUGAAGCCCUGACCAUGAGUGAUAUACUGCUCGAUCACCAGUGGUUCACCAAUUCGUCGCUCACCUGUUCGUCGUGCCCGUUCCCCUGCUGGUAGUUCAAACGUUCAUCGAUCCCCAGCUGGAUGCUAAUCCGUUUUCUGUUCAGCUUAUACUCGCUCAUUUAUUCCCCAUUAUCCAGAUGACCGUUCAUCUGUUGGCCGUUCUCCAAAUGCCUUUUACCAUUUCGUCGUGCUCUUGAUGGCUGCUCACCUGUUUGGACAUGGUGUUUACGUUUUGAAGUAAAUUAUUGAAAUUGGUGUUUUUUUUAAUGGCUGAAACUUAAUACGACAGAAAGACUUGAUUCUGCCAGGCAGUUGUGAAUCCUAAAUAUUGGGGUCCUUUUUAAUAACAUUGAUGAUACUUUCCCCGUACACUUUUUUGUUUAUAAUGUUCUACUAGGUUUAUGGCUCAUGGAAUGUACGAUGCGCAACAGUUUAAUUAAUUGUAUACAGUCU
Long non-coding RNA from Papaver somniferum (opium poppy), 1417 nucleotides. RefSeq lists it as uncharacterized. The record is from RefSeq and is a predicted model, not a curated record. The transcript has 3 exons. NCBI's taxonomy places the organism in Eukaryota, Viridiplantae, Streptophyta, Magnoliopsida, Ranunculales, Papaveraceae.